RNAcentral lists this long non-coding RNA (762 nucleotides) under Canis lupus familiaris (dog). Its description in RNAcentral is "lncRNA (ENSCAFG00845018950.1)". Lineage: Eukaryota; Metazoa; Chordata; Mammalia; Carnivora; Canidae. The record is from RNAcentral.
CAGUUUUCAGGUUGAAGGUGCCCCAUUUCCCCUCCAGAGGGGUCUGCCUUCCUAAAGGUACACCGUGCCCUCCCGUUCUUCCAGGUUGCCCACUGUACACUCCGAAGAGAACCGUGACGAACUUGCCCUCUUGGGUCUUGAGUUGCCCAGAUGCGUGUUGCUGUCGCUGCAGCGGAAGACCUUCAUCCUACUGCUCACUCCUCGGCUCGACAAAAGCAAUUUUUCACUCCCGGGCUUUGCAGGGGCCAGGUUUCUGGUUUCUCCACCCCACCUCCCCGCAGCCCUCCGCUCCCUGCACCCAGGGCUUCCGGCCUCCACCCCGACAUUCCAGGUGAUGGGGAUUGAGAAGUCUUGGAAAUCCUUGUGUAGUAUAAUCCCCUCUUCUCUACACUAGAAAUACAGGUAUCUGAAAGUUUGCUACACUUGGUUUUGAUUUUAUUGAGUACUAAUAUUGGCCUCACUCAUUGGUAAAAAUAUUGGGAAGUGUAGGUGUAGGAAAACCUAAGUUCUAGUUUUGGACCUGCUACUAGCCAGCCUUGGGGCAGUUCAUACUGAUUCUCACCCAUAGGGCCUUGGUUUCCUCAUCUUUAAGGAACAUUAAAUAAAAAUUGGGGCCAGGCCGGUGGUUUUCAAAUCAGAGCAGCUGUGCUUUUGUCUUUUCCAUAUUGGAGUUAUCUGAGUUUUGUAUAAGAUGUUUAAGAAAUGGAAGAGAGAGAGAGAGAAAAAAAAAAAAGAAACGGAAGAGAGAUUCACUGCUAACAA